UGCAGUCGAACGGGAUCUUCGGAUCUAGUGGCGGACGGGUGAGUAACGCGUGGGAACGUACCCUUUGGUUCGGAAUAGCCCUGGGAAACUGGGAGUAAUACCGGAUACGGUCGAGAGACGAAAGAUUUAUCGCCGAAGGAUCGGCCCGCGUUGGAUUAGGUAGUUGGUGGGGUAAUGGCCUACCAAGCCGACGAUCCAUAGCUGGUUUGAGAGGAUGAUCAGCCACACUGGGACUGAGACUCGGCCCAGACUCCUACGGGAGGCAGCAGUGGGGAAUCUUAGACAAUGGGGGAAACCCUGAUCUAGCCAUGCCGCGUGAGCGAUGAAGGCCUUAGGGUUGUAAAGCUCUAUCGUGGGGGAAGAUAAUGACAUGUACCCCAAGA
RNAcentral lists this ribosomal RNA (383 nucleotides) under uncultured bacterium. RNAcentral's name for it is "bacterial SSU rRNA". It matches the Rfam family "Bacterial small subunit ribosomal RNA", at positions 56 to 485 of the family's 1533-position model. The record is from RNAcentral.